RNAcentral lists this ribosomal RNA (496 nucleotides) under uncultured Actinomycetes bacterium. Its description in RNAcentral is "bacterial SSU rRNA". It matches the Rfam family "Bacterial small subunit ribosomal RNA", at positions 8 to 513 of the family's 1533-position model. Lineage: Bacteria; Bacillati; Actinomycetota; Actinomycetes. The record is from RNAcentral.
AGGGUUUGAUUCUGGCUCAGGACGAACGCUGGCGGUGCGCCUUAUGCAUGCAAGUUGAGCGAAGCUUUUUGGUAGUUUACUACUAGAAAUGACUGAGCGGCGAACGGGUGAGUAACGCGUGAGCAAUCUACCUUAGUUACUGGGAUAGCCCGAGGAAACUCGGAUUAAUACCGGAUAUUCUUAUUUUUUCACAUGAAGUUUUAAGGAAAGGUCAGCCGAACUAAGAUGAGCUCGCGUUCUAUCAGCUAGUUGGUGGGGUAAAAGCCUACCAAGGCUACGACGGAUAGCUGGUCUGAGAGGACGAUCAGCCACACUGGGACUGAGACACGGCCCAGACUCCUACGGGAGGCUGCAGCAGGGAAUAUUGUGCAAUGAGCGAAAGCUUGACACAGCGACACCGCGUGUGGGAUGACGGUUCUAGGAUUGUAAACCACUUUCAGGAGGGAAGAAAAUGACGGUACCUCCACAAGAAGACCCGGCCAACUAUGUGCCAGCA